This 685-nucleotide ribosomal RNA is filed under the name fungal sp. CFK6. Its description in RNAcentral is "SSU rRNA". It matches the Rfam family "Eukaryotic small subunit ribosomal RNA", at positions 391 to 1080 of the family's 1831-position model. Lineage: Eukaryota; Fungi. The record is from RNAcentral.
GGAGCCUGAGAAACGGCUACCACAUCCAAGGAAGGCAGCAGGCGCGCAAAUUACCCAAUCCCGACACGGGGAGGUAGUGACAAUAAAUACUGAUACAGGGCUCUUUUGGGUCUUGUAAUUGGAAUGAGUACAAUUUAAACCUCUUAACGAGGAACAAUUGGAGGGCAAGUCUGGUGCCAGCAGCCGCGGUAAUUCCAGCUCCAAUAGCGUAUAUUAAAGUUGUUGCAGUUAAAAAGCUCGUAGUUGAAACUUGGGCCUGGCUGGCAGGUCCGCCUCACCGCGUGUACUUGUCCGGCCGGGCCUUUCCUUCUGGAGAACCUCAUGCCCUUCACUGGGUGUGUUGGGGAACCAGGACUUUUACUUUGAAAAAAUUAGAGUGUUCAAAGCAGGCCUUUGCUCGAAUACGUUAGCAUGGAAUAAUAGAAUAGGACGUGCGGUCCUAUUUUGUUGGUUUCUAGGACCGCCGUAAUGAUUAAUAGGGACAGUCGGGGGCAUCAGUAUUCAAUUGUCAGAGGUGAAAUUCUUGGAUUUAUUGAAGACUAACUACUGCGAAAGCAUUUGCCAAGGAUGUUUUCAUUAAUCAGUGAACGAAAGUUAGGGGAUCGAAGACGAUCAGAUACCGUCGUAGUCUUAACCGUAAACUAUGCCGACUAGGGAUCGGGCGAUGUUCUUUUUCUGACUCGCU